UUUGUGAUUUGUCUUUUGGUGGUUUGGUGUGUGAGUGAGGUAAGUAGGAGAGUCGGCCGAAGGCCUGUACAGGUCCGGUAACGGUCUCCUGCAGACUUCUUCUCAUAGACCAGGGUUGGCGCCCGAUGGAGAGCGGGAGGAGUGAGUGGAAUAGUAUGGAUGGUAGUGAAGAGGAAGAGAUUGGCGGUCAGGGUGACGAGAAUGAGUGGGAAAGGGAGGGAAGAGGUGCAGAGCUAGUGAAAGGAAGAGGAAAAAGAGAAGUGAGGGUAGUACGGAAGGGACUGACAGUGAAGGUAAUGAAGAAGGAACGAAUCCGAGUAUGAAUGUCAUUGUCAGGUUUGAGGAAGAGGGUGUGAAGAAAAUAGAUCCACUUAAGCUGACAAGAGCACUUAAGGCACAAGUUGGGGAAAUCAAGUAUGCUAAGAUCCUCAGAGAUGGAAAUUUACUGGUGGGUUGUAACACAGAAGUGCAGGUGGAAAGAGCAAGGAAACUUGUGGGGGUGUGCAAAGUCAAAGUGAAGACUACUGCAAGAGUAGGGGAAAGGAGCACUAGUGGAAAUAAAGGAGUUAUUGUGGGUGUGCUGUUGAAUGUAAAUAUGAAAGACCUGAUGGAGAAUUUGAAACUGAGAAAUGGGGAAGUUAAAGGAGCAAGGAGAAUGACGAGAGGUCCAGAGAAAGUAGAAACAGAAACUGUGGUGGUGGAAUUUGACACGAAAGAGGUACCAAAAGAGGUCUUCUUUGGAUUAAUAAGAUUCAGUGUGAGGGAGUUUGUGCCUAAACCAAUGAGGUGUUUCAAUUGCCAAGAAUUUGGACAUAUUGCCAAAGUGUGUAAAGGGAAGAGGAGAUGUGCUCGAUGUUCUGGUGAUCAUGAAUAUGGGAAGUGUGGUGUGGGAGUAAAACCUAAAUGCUGUAAUUGUGGAGGGGAGCACAGUGUUGCUUUUUGGGGAUGUGAAGUGUUGAGGCAGCAGACAGUCGUUCAAAAAACCAGGGUACUGCAGAGAGUGACAUAUGCAGAGGCAUGUAAAAUGGUGGAGCAAGAGAGACAGAUUGGGAAACACAGGGUAGAGGAGAAACAAGUAAUGGAGAAGGUUAUGGCAAUGGUUGAAAGGAAAAUAGAAGAAGAGAAGAAGAAGAUGGUGACAUUGGUUGCGGGGGUAAUAAAUGCAACUUCAGAUGUGAAGUCCAAGACAGAGAGGAUCCAGAUUAUUGUGAAGGCGGCAUGUCAUAGUUUAGACAUGAAGAAUAUCAGGUGGGAGGAUAUAAGAGGUGAACUAAUUAGUCAGGCAAGUCAAGAGGGAUAAUGUGGUGGUUAGUUCUUAUAACCAUAUUACUCUUACAGUGGAAUGCCAGGAGUCUCUUGUCAAAUGGUCAAGAUUUUAAGCAGUUUAUAUAUGAACAGACAGAAAAACCUGACCUAAUUUGUAUUCAGGAAACAUGGUUGAAGCCUUUUUUGGAUUUUAGAGUGUAUGGGUAUAUUGCUGUUAGAUAUGAUAGGG
This is a long non-coding RNA of Oreochromis aureus, 1495 nucleotides long. NCBI's taxonomy places the organism in Eukaryota, Metazoa, Chordata, Actinopteri, Cichliformes, Cichlidae. The record is from Ensembl.